Molecule: ribosomal RNA, 275 nt
Filed under: Nematoda environmental sample
Lineage: Eukaryota; Metazoa; Nematoda
Description: partial 18S ribosomal RNA
Rfam family: Eukaryotic small subunit ribosomal RNA
Source: RNAcentral
CGUGGAUCGAUUUGUCUGGUUUAUUCCGAUAACGAGCGAGACUCUAGCCUACUAAAUAGUAACGAGAUUAUCAAUGUCUCAGUUGCUUCUUAGAGGGAUUUUCGGUGUUUAGCCGCACGAGAUUGAGCAAUAACAGGUCUGUGAUGCCCUUAGAUGUCCGGGGCUGCACGCGCGCUACACUGGCGAAAUCAGCGUGCUGUAUCCAUUCUCGAAAGGGAUUGGUAAACCCAUGAAAACUUGCCGUGCUUGGGAUCGGAAAUUGCAAUUAUUUUCCG